GAGAGAGAGAAUCUCAAGCAGGCUCCACACUGUCAGCACAGAGCCCAGUGCAGGGCUUGAUCUCAUGAACUGUGAGAUCACGACCCGGGCCAAAAUCAAGAGUUGGAUGCUUAAUGACUGGGCUACCCAAAUGCUGUAGCAGGAUUCUUUCUGACACUGAGGCUUUUCUUUCCAGGAAGUAACUUUAUUCCUGACAGCACCGCUCAGUUGGGUUCAUACCUGGAGAACUGAGCCCCGAACACCACGUGGUGUAGUUUUCUACCUAUUUUUUACUUCUUUGUCUCCCAUAUAUGGUAACACACAAACAUGUGGUCUGAUUAAGUGGUCAUGAGGGAUGUUGUCACGUAUGCCUACAGCCAGGACUGUCUCUUAUA
Molecule: long non-coding RNA, 374 nt
Organism: Prionailurus viverrinus (fishing cat)
Lineage: Eukaryota; Metazoa; Chordata; Mammalia; Carnivora; Felidae
Exons: 3
Source: RefSeq, a predicted model, not a curated record